This 540-nucleotide ribosomal RNA is filed under the name uncultured archaeon. RNAcentral describes it as "bacterial SSU rRNA". It matches the Rfam family "Archaeal small subunit ribosomal RNA", at positions 457 to 997 of the family's 1478-position model. The record is from RNAcentral.
GUCAGCAGCCGCGGUAAUACCGGCGGCUCGAGUGGUGGCCACUUUAUUGGGCUUAAAGCGUCGUAGCUGGGUUAUUAAGUCCCUUGGGAAAUCCGACAGCUUAACUGUCGGGCGUCUAAGAGAUACUGGUAAUCUUGGAACCGGGAGAGGUGAGGGGUACUUCGGGGGUAGGAGUGAAAUCCUGUAAUCCUCGAGGGACCACCUGUGGCGAAGGCGCCUCACCAGAACGGCUUCGACAGUGAGGGACGAAAGCUGGGGGAGCAAACCGGAUUAGAUACCCGGGUAGUCCCAGCCGUAAACGAUGUGCGUUAGGUGUAUCGGUGACCACGAGUCACCGAGGUGCCGAAGGGAAACCGUGAAACGUACCGCCUGGGAAGUACGGUCGCAAGGCUGAAACUUAAAGGAAUUGGCGGGGGAGCACCACAACAGGUGGAGCCUGCCGGUUUAAUUGGACUCAACGCCGGAAAUCUCACCGGAUAAGACAGCAGAAUGAUUGCCGGGCUGAAGACUCUGCAUGACUAGCUGAGAGGAGGUGCAUGG